UGCGGGGGGAGCAAGCGUUGUUCGGAUUUACUGGGCGUAAAGGGCGCGUAGGCGGCCUCCGCAAGUCAGUUGUGAAAUCUCCGAGCUUAACUCGGAAAGGUCAACUGAUACUGCGGGGCUAGAGUGCGGAAGGGGCAACUGGAAUUCUUGGUGUAGCGGUGAAAUGCGUAGAUAUCAAGAGGAACACCUGCGGCGAAGGCGGGUUGCUGGGCCGACACUGACGCUGAGGCGCGAAAGCUAGGGGAGCGAACGGG
Molecule: ribosomal RNA, 254 nt
Filed under: uncultured bacterium
Lineage: Bacteria
Description: partial 16S ribosomal RNA
Rfam family: Bacterial small subunit ribosomal RNA
Source: RNAcentral